CAGCCGCCGCGGUAAUACGUAGGUGGCAAGCGUUGUCCGGAAUUAUUGGGCGUAAAGCGCGCGCAGGUGGUUUAAUAAGUCUGAUGUGAAAGCCCACGGCUCAACCGUGGAGGGUCAUUGGAAACUGUUAAACUUGAGUGCAGGAGAGAAAAGUGGAAUUCCUAGUGUAGCGGUGAAAUGCGUAGAGAUUAGGAGGAACACCAGUGGCGAAGGCGGCUUUUGGCCUGUAACUGACACUGAGGCGCGAAAGCGUGGGGAGCAAACAGGAUUAGAGACCCCCGUAGUCCCUGUCUCUUAUACA
This 301-nucleotide ribosomal RNA is filed under the name uncultured bacterium. Its description in RNAcentral is "partial 16S ribosomal RNA". It matches the Rfam family "Bacterial small subunit ribosomal RNA", at positions 509 to 808 of the family's 1533-position model. The record is from RNAcentral.